AUGAAAUAGGUAGGAUAUAAUUGGCAUGCCAAUAGGGAUUAGAUAUGCAUUUGGUCUAAGAGAUGAUGUCUUUGGAGAUUUUUUAUUACCUUUGGGCUCUGUACGAUUGUGCACUCUUUAUUGCCUUUAUGCCUUGCACUUGUGGAGCCCCAAACCUGGCUAGGACGGUUUGACCUGAAUCCAGAACGUCACAUUAGUCACCGAGCU
This 207-nucleotide long non-coding RNA is filed under the name Gossypium barbadense (sea-island cotton). Its description in RNAcentral is "long non-coding RNA (GBAR_LNC008814)". Lineage: Eukaryota; Viridiplantae; Streptophyta; Magnoliopsida; Malvales; Malvaceae. The record is from RNAcentral.